GUGAGAGUGUACUCACCAACCACGGUCUGUCUGUGAGAGUGUACUCACCAACCACGGUCUGUCUGAGAUGUACUCACUCAACCACGGUCUGAAGAUACUGUCAGAAAUACCUUUUUUUUUUUUUUUAAUUUUAAAAUGUGGACAGGAUGAGAAGCUACUGUUAACUAAUUAAAGAUCCCCUCUCUAAUCAUAAAGACUGAGGCUCUAUCUGGAAAGUGUGUGGCAUAACAAAUAGUCCAUAUCCCAGUGGUGUUACAGGUCCCAUAGAGAGACAGACUGGGAACAUACUUAUUAAGCCCAUGCCACUCAAGAUCCUCCUCUCUCCCUCCCCAAACCAAUCAACAAACUCAUACAUCACUACGGAGGAGGGGUGAGAGAAUAAAUGGCAGGCAGUGAUAACCGAGCAGUGAUAACAGAGUAAAAUAAAUCUGUUGGUUUUCUUUUAAUAUUUAAUGACUUUACACCCAGCAAACCUGUGUGUGUGUGUGUGG
Oncorhynchus tshawytscha (Chinook salmon) is the source of this 491-nucleotide long non-coding RNA. The record is from Ensembl. NCBI's taxonomy places the organism in Eukaryota, Metazoa, Chordata, Actinopteri, Salmoniformes, Salmonidae.